The sequence is a ribosomal RNA, 128 nucleotides long. It matches the Rfam family "Bacterial large subunit ribosomal RNA", at positions 2792 to 2925 of the family's 2925-position model.
GCCCCCCUCAAGAUGAGAUUUCCCAGUAUGUAAGACCCCUUGAAGACGACGAGGUAGAUAGGUUGGAGGUGGAAGCACGGCAACGUGUGGAGCUGACCAAUACUAAUCGGUCGAGGGCUUAUCCAAAA